RNAcentral lists this ribosomal RNA (367 nucleotides) under uncultured bacterium. Its description in RNAcentral is "bacterial SSU rRNA". It matches the Rfam family "Bacterial small subunit ribosomal RNA", at positions 527 to 896 of the family's 1533-position model. The record is from RNAcentral.
GAAGGUGGCAAGCGUUGUUCGGAUUUACUGGGCGUACAGGGAGCGUAGGCGGUUCGGUAAGCCCUCUGUGAAAUCUCCAGGCUUAACCUGGAACAGUCGGAGGGGACUGCCGGGCUAGAGGACGGGAGAGGAGCGCGGAAUUCCCGGUGUAGCGGUGAAAUGCGUAGAGAUCGGGAGGAAGGCCGGUGGCGAAGGCGGCGCUCUGGAACGUUUCUGACGCUGAGGCUCGAAAGCGUGGGGAGCAAACAGGAUUAGAUACCCUGGUAGUCCACGCCUUAAACUAUGAAUACUAAGUGUCGGCGGGUUACCGCCGGUGCCGCAGCUAACGCAUUAAGUAUUCCGCCUGGGAAGUACGGCCGCAAGGUUG